CAUUAGAUAGCUAAAAGCUAGCACUGGUCUCUUAAACCAUUUUAUAAUAGAUUAGCGACUAUUUCUAAUG
This 70-nucleotide transfer RNA is filed under the name Sciobius sp. SCI01. RNAcentral describes it as "tRNA-Lys". The record is from RNAcentral. Lineage: Eukaryota; Metazoa; Arthropoda; Insecta; Coleoptera; Curculionidae.